AACACCUCAAAAUGAUCUAAGGUUUUUCCCAUUCUCUUGUCUUGUGAUUCUUAUCUAAAAAACUCCUUUAGACCUCUCGCUUUGUUUCUCUACUCUGGAAAAACCUCUUCAUGGUAUCAAAGCUUUUUUUUUUUUUUUUUUACUAACGUCCAUGGAAAAUCCUUCAAGCGAUCCUCAAUUUGAAACUGAUAUUAAUAAUACCCCAACAACACUGCUUUCUGCUCCAAAUUUUGCUCCCAACUCUGGUUUUCCUAAUCAAUCUUGGAAACCUUUCUCGAAUUCGUUAAGCUCUUCUUUUAACAAUCAAACUCGAUCAAACUAACUACUUAGCUUGCACAUCUCAAGUAGUUCCCACUGUUAUCGGCCAUGAUCUUGAUGAUUUGUUGUUCAACAGUGACAAACCUCCUCAGUUCUUGGUAAAUGACGAUUGGAAAACGCAAAGACCAACUACUACUUUCUUGGCUCAGAUCUUCGAUGACUGAAUUUGUUGGAAGGCCCUUGAACAAAGGUUCUCAAGUAAAUCUAAGGCUCAACUUCUACAACUGAAAGGACAACUUUGCAAUGUUCAGAAGUAGAACCUCUCCAUUGCUGAGUGUUUUUACAAGGUAAUAUUCCUAAGUGACAACUUGGCGAUUCCUGGAUGUACUAUUAUUGAUGAAGAUCUUGAGCUUUGAUUGCUGAAUGGUCUUGGACCAGAAUAUAAUUUAGUGAUUUUUGGUAUAACUUCUAGUAGUGAAUCGAAGUCCUUGGAAGAAAUACAAGCUUUAUUAAUGGCUUAUGAGUGCAGACUUGAACACUACCAUAGUGUUGCUAAUCUUUCCUCCAAAAUGACAACAAAUCUUGUAAUUGGGGAUCUUUAAGAACCAUUCAUUCUGGUCCUUACAAGCCUCUAUUUGCUCAAAACCCUUCAUAUGAAACUCCCUCAAGAUCAGGAGCUAAGCCAUACAAUCGAUCUUUCCCUUCAAAUGAUUUAAGACCCUUAUGUCAAGUUUGUCUCAUGCUCGACCAUACUGCUGCAAUAUGUCACUAUAGAUUUGUUAAAGUCUUUGUCACUCGCAAGGCCUCCAUAAAUUCACCUCGAGCUUACUUGACUGAAGUUGAAGGUGAUCAUGAUCCACAAAUAUUCCUCUUCAACAAUCCCGACUUUGUAGAUGAUCCUAUGUGGUAUACUGAUAUGGGUGCCACCAAUCAUGUUUCAUUUGGCAUGGAAAAUCUGGACACUGCUGCUCCUUACACUGGAUCUAAAUCUUUGGCUAUAAGUAAUGGACAAUCUUGCUGAAAUGGAAACGUAAAAAUGACCUCUAUAUGCUUGGAGAUGAUUCUCAGUCCACCUCCUCUGCUGGUUUUCAUGUCAUCUUGCCACUUCUUCUGAGUCUCUCACCGGUUCUCUUCAAUCAUUUAAUUCCUUAGCAUCUUCAUGUAAUCAAUAUUGUAAUAUUUCAGGUCACAAAUGUUCAAUGACAAAUGAUGUAAUAAAACUCAGAUUAGUAAAAGCUUACUUUCUAAAAAUUGGUGUGAUCCUCAAGUUUUUUCUCAGCUUCUCUUACUAAUGAUGUUAAUGUUUGGCAUUACAAACUACGUCAUCCCUCAAUUAGAAAUUUAAUGUACACACAUCUGGAGAUCAUUUGACUAUGGUAUGAUGAUAAUCAAAUAAUACAAAAUCCUUCCACUGCGUACUUGAUUUAGAACCAUAAAAACAACACAAGAAUGGUACGUAUUUAACUCAAAUAAAGUACAUUAGCCAUCUCCUUGUUAAGCUUCAUCUGGAAAGGGUCAAAGCGUCUCCAAGCCUGACCAACUCUACUCAUAAAUUAUCUCUUCAUGAAGGUGCUCUUUUUUCUGAUCCUAUGCUCUAUCACAGUACACUAGGAGCCUUACAAUACCUCAGACUAACCAGGCCUGGUGUUACCUUUAUUGUCAAUAAACUAAAUCAAUUUGUUCAAGCUCCUACCAUUGUCCAUUGGGAAGCUUGCAAACGAUUUCUUAGAUAUUUGAAAGGGACGAUUGCUCAAGGUCUUCUCAUAACACCAACAAGUCUUAUGGAUCUUCACGGGUAGUCCGAUGCUGUUUGGCUAGUUGUCCCGAUGAUUGUCGCUCUACAGGUGGUUAUGCCAUGUUCCUUGGUGGGAAUCUAAUAUCCUGUUCUACUAAAAAGCAACAAGUUAUCGCUCGAUCUAGUAUUGAAAGUGAGUUUCGUGCUCUAGCAAAUGCGGCUACUAAAAUCAAGUGGAUUGUUUCUCUUCGUGAACUCCAAGUUACUCUAUCUCAAGCUCCUAUUUUGUGGGUGGACAAUCAAGGAGCCUUUGCUCUUGCGGCAAAUUCCAUGUUUCAUGCUCGUAGCAAGCACAUAGAGAUUGAUCUACACUUUGUCCGGUACCAAAUUCUCGCUCAACACCUAUCACUCUAAUAUGUUCUCUCAGUUGAUCAAAUCGCGGAUGUUCUUACUAAAGCCUUGCCUACUGAUCGUUUUGAGUAUUUGAAGUCCAAACUUCAUGUGGUGAAUUUCCAAUUUCGUUUUGAGUAUGUUAAGUAGUAGGUAGUUAUAUCUGUUAGAGGUUGUUAAUAGUCAAGCUGUUUUGUAACUAAUUCUUUGUACUCUUUAUCUCUAUAAGUAAAAUAACACCUCAGAAUGAU
Cannabis sativa is the source of this 2634-nucleotide long non-coding RNA. RefSeq lists it as uncharacterized. Lineage: Eukaryota; Viridiplantae; Streptophyta; Magnoliopsida; Rosales; Cannabaceae. The record is from RefSeq and is a predicted model, not a curated record. The transcript has 2 exons.